UACAGAGGUCUCAAGCGUUGUUCGGAUUCAUUGGGCGUAAAGGGUGCGUAGGUGGCGGGGCAAGUCUGGUGUGAAAUCCCGGGGCUCAACCCUGGAACUGCACUGGAUACUGCUUUGCUAGAGUACUGGAGAGGGAACUGGAAUUUACGGUGUAGCAGUGAAAUGCGUAGAGAUCGUAAGGAAGACCAGUGGCGAAGGCGGGUCUCUGGACAGUUCCUGACACUGAGGCACGAAGGCCAGGGGAGCAAACGGG
Molecule: ribosomal RNA, 253 nt
Filed under: uncultured bacterium
Lineage: Bacteria
Description: partial 16S ribosomal RNA
Rfam family: Bacterial small subunit ribosomal RNA
Source: RNAcentral